CUGAGGUACUCAUGGUAAUCACCGUAAUACUAUUUUCCUACUCCUUGAAAGAAAGAUAGAUAGUACUAUGCCUGUAAUUUCAAAAAUUUUAUGCAGCUAAAGUAUUAGAUUAAAUAAUUUAAUCUAAUUUACAUGCAUAAGAUCUAAUCUAGACUACCAUGAUAAGAUUUAUAAUAUGAUUUAAUAUGCACAUAAGAUCUGAAAAUAAAACUUGCAUCGAUCUAAUCGAUGCUGCAAUCU
RNAcentral lists this long non-coding RNA (240 nucleotides) under Elaeis guineensis (African oil palm). RNAcentral describes it as "long non-coding RNA (EGUI_LNC054048)". The record is from RNAcentral. Lineage: Eukaryota; Viridiplantae; Streptophyta; Magnoliopsida; Arecales; Arecaceae.